This 358-nucleotide ribosomal RNA is filed under the name uncultured bacterium. RNAcentral's name for it is "partial 16S ribosomal RNA". It matches the Rfam family "Bacterial small subunit ribosomal RNA", at positions 338 to 710 of the family's 1533-position model. The record is from RNAcentral.
CCUACGGGAGGCAGCAGUGGGGAAUAUUGGGCAAUGGGCGCAAGCCUGACCCAGCAACGCCGCGUGAAGGAAGAAGGCUUUCGGGUUGUAAACUUCUUUUCGCAGGGACGAAACAAGUGACAGUACCUGCGGAAUAAGCCACGGCUAACUACAUGCCAGCAGCCGCGGUCAUACGUCGGGGGCAAGCGUUAUACGGAUUUCCUGGGUGUAAAGGUCUUGUAGGGGGGAAAGCAAGUCAGAUGUUAAAACCAUGGGCUCAACCUGUUUACUGCAUUUGAAACUGUUGUUCUUGAGUACUGGAGAGGCAGACGGAAUUCCUGGUGUAGCGGUGAAAUGCGUAGAGAUUAGGAGGAACACC